GCGGCCUUGGUCUAAUGGUUAGGAUUUCGUGCUUCCACCACGAAGGCCCGUGUUCAAUUCACGGAGGUCGCA
RNAcentral lists this transfer RNA (72 nucleotides) under Niveomyces insectorum RCEF 264. RNAcentral's name for it is "Sporothrix insectorum RCEF 264 tRNA". It matches the Rfam family "tRNA". Rfam says of the family: Transfer RNA (tRNA) molecules are approximately 80 nucleotides in length. Their secondary structure includes four short double-helical elements and three loops (D, anti-codon, and T loops). Lineage: Eukaryota; Fungi; Ascomycota; Sordariomycetes; Hypocreales; Cordycipitaceae. The record is from Rfam by way of RNAcentral.